This 413-nucleotide ribosomal RNA is filed under the name uncultured bacterium. RNAcentral describes it as "bacterial SSU rRNA". It matches the Rfam family "Bacterial small subunit ribosomal RNA", at positions 945 to 1359 of the family's 1533-position model. The record is from RNAcentral.
UUUAAUUCGAAGCAACGCGAAGAACCUUACCAGGUCUUGACAUCCUCUGACAACCCUAGAGAUAGAGCUUCUCCUUCGGGAGCAGAGUGACAGGUGGUGCAUGGUUGUCGUCAGCUCGUGUCGUGAGAUGUUGGGUUAAGUCCCGCAACGAGCGCAACCCUUGAUCUUAGUUGCCAUCAUUUAGUUGGGCACUCUAAGGUGACUGCCGGUGACAAACCGGAGGAAGGUGGGGAUGACGUCAAAUCAUCAUGCCCCUUAUGACCUGGGCUACACACGUGCUACAAUGGACGGUACAAAGAGCUGCAAGACCGCGAGGUGGAGCUAAUCUCAUAAAACCGUUCUCAGUUCGGAUUGUAGGCUGCAACUCGCCUACAUGAAGCUGGAAUCGCUAGUAAUCGCGGAUCAGCAUGCCG